AGCGGCACGGAUGCCGCUGGUUCCACUCCUUACGAGUUUGCAACGCAAACUCGAAGCUGAAAAAUGUACACGGAUGUCCGAUCAUAAGCCGGA
Treponema denticola ATCC 35405 is the source of this 93-nucleotide small RNA. It matches the Rfam family "TD-2 RNA". Rfam says of the family: non coding RNA found in Treponema denticola NCBI's taxonomy places the organism in Bacteria, Pseudomonadati, Spirochaetota, Spirochaetia, Treponematales, Treponemataceae. The record is from Rfam.